UUGAUGAUCUCACUUUAGAACCUAGAAUUCCGCAUUCUACACCCUCAGAGUUGUUCUCUGAGCAUUUUCCAGCUAGCCUGCAGGCACUAUAAUAGUAUUCAUUUAUAUAUGAUCUAUAUGUAGUGUGAUAAUGUCUAUUUUUUUCCUCUAGUGGAAGUUAAGAACAACACCAAAAGACAUUUCAUCCAAGGAAUCUGCACUGUUUGUCCUUUCCCAGAGGAACGAGGAGAGCAGCGGUGGCCGGGCAGUCUGGGGGCACCUGGACAUUCACUCACUCGAGGAAGACAUCUAUGUGCUGCUGACUCCCCCGGCCUCUGACCGCCUUCUGUCGUGUCACAUCCCCUGGCAGUUGUGACACCCACACACAUGUCCACCAGCAAUCUUCCUCUGUGACCUCACCACACAUGAAGGAACUGGGCAGACCUGCUCGGUCACCUGCUUGUGCAUCUCUGUCCCACCUGAGAGCUUCCACAGGCCCCGGUGCCUUCUUCCUCUUUGCCAUGUGUCU
Long non-coding RNA from Suricata suricatta (meerkat), 508 nucleotides. RefSeq lists it as uncharacterized. NCBI's taxonomy places the organism in Eukaryota, Metazoa, Chordata, Mammalia, Carnivora, Herpestidae. The transcript is spliced from 3 exons. The record is from RefSeq and is a predicted model, not a curated record.